Molecule: long non-coding RNA, 524 nt
Organism: Spea bombifrons (plains spadefoot toad)
Lineage: Eukaryota; Metazoa; Chordata; Amphibia; Anura; Pelobatidae
Exons: 3
Source: RefSeq, a predicted model, not a curated record
UGAGCCAUUUACUGACAUGGACUGCUUGCCGUUGCAAUACCCACCUUGAAUAACGGCUGUCGAAGCACCUCUUGCAAGCAGCUCUGGCUCCACAGGGACAGCAUAGAGACUCACCUUAGACACACGAGCAUGGCGUUUGAGCACCGAGGGUUCAGUAUAACGUCCCAGAAUCGGUCCAGGCAGUUGGCUCCAGUGUUAGGAGCCGGGAGUGAGGUCUGGCACUCGUGUAAGUGAAUAGAGAAAGCAGCCAGUCCAACCACGUGAGGGUCUCUGAGGCGAGGAGACUGGGACCACCCAAAAAAUAGAGCACAUGAGAAAAAGAACAGUACAGAGAUGAACCCAAUCAAUCAGCAAUAAAGAACUACCUGACAACACAGAAGCUGCAAAAUCCUUCUCAGCACCACGGAGAGGGCCCUGCGAUGACCACACAGCAUCCUUACAUACAGAGACGGCCACGGACCCUGCCUGAGUGAUAACGAAGCAGAUUGGUAAACGUGAGCGAAGGGCAGCACCAAGCAUCUCAA